Molecule: unclassified non-coding RNA, 323 nt
Filed under: uncultured fungus
Lineage: Eukaryota; Fungi
Description: partial contains small subunit ribosomal RNA, internal transcribed spacer 1, and 5.8S ribosomal RNA
Rfam family: Eukaryotic small subunit ribosomal RNA (bases 1-73)
Source: RNAcentral
GCAAACUUGGUCAUUUAGAGGAAGUAAAAGUCGUAACAAGGUUUCCGUAGGUGAACCUGCGGAAGGAUCAUUAUUGAAUUAAUGUAGAGUUGGUUGUAGCUGGCCCUAUUAACUUGGGGCAUGUGCACACCUUCUCUUUCAUCCAUACACACCUGUGCACCUGUGAGGCAGAUUUUUUUGGGGGGGACUUUAUUGAACCCCCCUCUGCCUACUCAAUUCACAUAAACCCAAUUUAUUUUAAAAUGAAUGUAAUAGAUGUAACGCAUCUAAUACUAAGUUUCAACAACGGAUCUCUUGGCUCUCGCAUCGAUGAAGAACGCAGC